This 986-nucleotide ribosomal RNA is filed under the name uncultured Phycicoccus sp. RNAcentral's name for it is "bacterial SSU rRNA". It matches the Rfam family "Bacterial small subunit ribosomal RNA", at positions 397 to 1393 of the family's 1533-position model. Lineage: Bacteria; Bacillati; Actinomycetota; Actinomycetes; Micrococcales; Intrasporangiaceae. The record is from RNAcentral.
CCGCGUGAGGGAUUAAGGCCUUCGGGUUGUAAACCUCUUUCAGCAGGGAAGGAGCGCAAGUGACGGUACCUGCAGAAGAAGCACCGGCUAACUACGUGCCAGCAGCCGCGGUAAUACGUAGGGUGCGAGCGUUGUCCGGAAUUAUUGGGCGUAAAGAGCUUGUAGGCGGUUUGUCGCGUCUGCUGUGAAAUCUCAAGGCUCAACCUUGAGCUUGCAGUGGGUACGGGCAGACUAGAGUGUGGUAGGGGAGACUGGAAUUCCUGGUGUAGCGGUGAAAUGCGCAGAUAUUAGGAGGAACACCGAUGGCGAAGGCAGGUCUCUGGGCCACUACUGACGCUGAGAAGCGAAAGCAUGGGGAGCGAACAGGAUUAGAUACCCUGGUAGUCCAUGCCGUAAACGUUGGGAACUAGGUGUGGGCCUCAUUCCACGAGGUCCGUGCCGCAGCUAACGCAUUAAGUUCCCCGCCUGGGGAGUACGGCCGCAAGGCUAAAACUCAAAGGAAUUGACGGGGGCCCGCACAAGCGGCGGAGCAUGCGGAUUAAUUCGAUGCAACGCGAAGAACCUUACCAAGGCUUGACAUAUGCGAGAACGCGGCAGAGAUGUCGUUCUCUUUGGACACUCGUAUACAGGUGGUGCAUGGUUGUCGUCAGCUCGUGUCGUGAGAUGUUGGGUUAAGUCCCGCAACGAGCGCAACCCUCGUUCUAUGUUGCCAGCACGUGAUGGUGGGGACUCAUAGGAGACUGCCGGGGUCAACUCGGAGGAAGGUGGGGAUGACGUCAAAUCAUCAUGCCCCUUAUGUCUUGGGCUUCACGCAUGCUACAAUGGCCGGUACAAAGGGCUGCGAUACCGUAAGGUGGAGCGAAUCCCAAAAAACCGGUCUCAGUUCGGAUUGGGGUCUGCAACUCGACCCCAUGAAGUCGGAGUCGCUAGUAAUCGCAGAUCAGCAACGCUGCGGUGAAUACGUUCCCGGGCCUUGUACACACCGC